CCUACGGGAGGCAGCAGUAGGGAAUAUUGGUCAAUGGAGGCAACUCUGAACCAGCCAUGCCGCGUGUAGGAUGACGGUCCUAUGGAUUGUAAACUGCUUUUAUACGAGAAGAAACACUGAUUCGUGAAUCAGCUUGACGGUAUCGUAAGAAUAAGGAUCGGCUAACUCCGUGCCAGCAGCCGCGGUAAUA
RNAcentral lists this ribosomal RNA (190 nucleotides) under uncultured bacterium. RNAcentral's name for it is "partial 16S ribosomal RNA". It matches the Rfam family "Bacterial small subunit ribosomal RNA", at positions 338 to 525 of the family's 1533-position model. The record is from RNAcentral.